RNAcentral lists this ribosomal RNA (468 nucleotides) under uncultured bacterium. RNAcentral describes it as "partial 16S ribosomal RNA". It matches the Rfam family "Bacterial small subunit ribosomal RNA", at positions 28 to 507 of the family's 1533-position model. The record is from RNAcentral.
GACGAACGCUGGCGGCGUGCUUAACACAUGCAAGUCGAACGGAAAGGCCCUGCUUUUGUGGGGUGCUCGAGUGGCGAACGGGUGAGUAACACGUGAGUAACCUGCCCUUGUCUUUGGGAUAACUUCAGGAAACUGGGGCUAAUACCGGAUAGGAGCUCCUGCUGCAUGGUGGGGGUUGGAAAGUUUCGGCGGUUGGGGGUGGACUCGCGGCUUAUCAGCUUGUUGGUGGGGUAGUGGCUUACCAAGGCUUUGACGGGUAGCCGGCCUGAGAGGGUGACCGGCCACAUUGGGACUGAGAUACGGCCCAGCCUCCUACGGGAGGCAGCAGUGGGGAGUAUUGCACAAUGGGCGGGAGCCUGAUGCAGCAACGCCGGGUGCGGGAUGACGGCCUUCGGGUUGUAAACCGCUUUCGCCUGUGACGAAGCGUGAUUGACGGUAAUGGGUAAAGAAGCACCGGCUAACUACGUG